This 1859-nucleotide long non-coding RNA is filed under the name Homo sapiens (human). RNAcentral describes it as "HSALNT0283992". The record is from RNAcentral. Lineage: Eukaryota; Metazoa; Chordata; Mammalia; Primates; Hominidae.
GGAAACAAGGGAAAGCCUUCAUGGAUAAUUAGACUUGGAAGAAACCUCAAGAGAUUCAGUUCUACACAUACUCUGGGAAUGGAAUAGACCUCAUUCUUUUGUGAGGUUGAAGCAUGUCUGUGGGAUGAAAAGAGAUGAAAAAUUAAAUCAGCAAGUGAUGAUUCAGUGAACCAUUCCAUUAUGGAAGACUUCCCUUUUAUUCUCCUAAUCAUUUUUUAUUAUGCACCCUAGGAAUAAGCCGUGGCUCACAUAAACCAGGUGAUACAUAUAUUUUAAGUAUUACUGGUGUAAUGCUGAACAAGAACAUGACUGAAACAAAUGUUUUGUAUAAGUAUUUAAAAUAUAUUUUACAAUAAAAUAAAAAAUAUAUUUUACAAAGGUCUACAAACAUGCUAAUUACAAAAUUUAGAUGCUUUAAGAUAAUCAAAUUAUAUGUAUACAGUAGGGUAGUAGGCGGUCAUUAUUUCUUUACUAAAUCUCACUAACAAAUCUCUUCCUUAUCUGAAUAUGCAGUUUGAUAAAUUCCAGAUGUCACACUGUAACGUGUGUGUAUACACACACACACACACAUAGAAUCGGUGUUUUAGUUUUGUUUUGUUAUUAAAUAAUUUACAGUGUUCUGCUUUUUCUCCCACCCCUCCCUAAUAAGAGAUGCUAAAAAGAACACCUAGUCGUUACAUACUUAUGCUAUUAGUUAUAGAUACUUUUGGGGAAAGGCAAAUUUAAACACACGUAGAAAUGUCCAACUGCAUGUACUGUACUUUAUGAAUUGAAUUGGCAGGGUGAGAGUAUAAUAUUUUUACUCAGAUUUAGAGAUAUGUUGCAUUUGUGCUGAAAAAUUUUUAAUUAGCCAAAGUAACCAUAAUAUUGUGUUAUAAAGCAACAGUUUACCAAUUGACUUCACUAGAAUUUAGCAUGUUUAUUGGAGCAGUUUAAAACCAACCAAAUACAUAGCUUAGGCAGUUGCUUUCAUAUAAAUGCCUUGGUAUACAUUUAAUCUUCUUAAGUUUGGCCUGCAAUUAAAUGAUAAUUUGUAUUAAAACUGUGCAAAUAAACAUGGGUUUGUUGACAACAUAAAACAGAACAAAUAGAUACACAGAACACUGGAAACAUAUUCAGUAUUAAAACUAUUUACAUGUGUGGUGCUGGCCAACUUUUGACAUGCUGUUUCAAUAAAAUACUGACAGGAAAAAGACUAGAAUAAUUUCCUUUCAAAGUUUCAAAUGUUCAUGUUUACAAAUUUGUACUGCAUAUUGAUAUGUAUACAUGCAUUAUAGUCAGCAGAUGUACAAAAAUGGUUACAGGAUCUUUCUACUUAGCUGAAAUGUAUCUACAUGUCUAUUGGCUUUAUCUUUUAAACUGCCUGAGAGUCACAAAUUUUAAAGUUAAAUAGAAUAGAAAACCUUGAAAUUAUAGUACUUUUUGAUCAAGUUAUUAUAUUUUAAUUGUUGUUAAAAGUGGCAGAAUUUUGAUUUUGGAUUGAAGGUCACAUACUUAUGCACAUGAUAAAGUAUAACGUAAUAUCUUGGUUGUAGAGAAUGGUAUAAAUAGUUCAAAUUUUUACUAGAACUGAAAAGUAAUAAAAUCAUGAGUUUACAAUGAUUGAAGGUUAAUGUAUUUAAAGAUUUUUUAUUGAAUACAUAAUUCAGUCUAUCUUUCAUUUUUAUGAUCAUUUUUUAGAACAUGUUGAUGUUUUAGAACUUUACAAUUAUUUCAAUUUUGCCUGAAAUUGCGUUUUCACCAUUUCCUUUGUGACAUAAAGAUUUUGUGACCUUUCUACCAAUUACACUGUCUAAUCAGACUGAUUUUCUUCUUUAUUGAUAAUUGUAAAUUAUAGAAAAAAAUUACUUAAUAAAAAC